RNAcentral lists this ribosomal RNA (492 nucleotides) under uncultured bacterium. Its description in RNAcentral is "partial 16S ribosomal RNA". It matches the Rfam family "Bacterial small subunit ribosomal RNA", at positions 29 to 507 of the family's 1533-position model. The record is from RNAcentral.
AGUGAACGCUGGCGGUAGGCCUAACACAUGCAAGUCGAACGGCAGCACAGUAAGAGCUUGCUCUUACGGGUGGCGAGUGGCGGACGGGUGAGGAAUACAUCGGAAUCUACUUUUUCGUGGGGGAUAACGUAGGGAAACUGAUGCUAAUACCGCAUACGACCUACGGGUGAAAGCAGGGGAUCUUCGGACCUUGCGCGACUGAAUGAGCCGAUGUCGGAUUAGCUAGUUGGCGGGGUAAAGGCCCACCAAGGCGACGAUCCGUAGCUGGUCUGAGAGGAUGAUCAGCCACACUGGAACUGAGACACGGUCCAGACUCCUACGGGAGGCAGCAGUGGGGAAUCUUCGACAAUGGGCGCAAGCCUGAUCCAGCCAUGCCGCGUGGGUGAAGAAGGCCUUCGGGUUGUAAAGCCCUUUUGUUAGGAAAGAAAAGCUGCAGGUUAAUCCCCCGCUGUUCUGACGGUACCCAAAGAAUAAGCACCGGCUAACUUCGUG